RNAcentral lists this long non-coding RNA (1634 nucleotides) under Anas platyrhynchos platyrhynchos (common mallard). Its description in RNAcentral is "lncRNA (ENSAPLG00000025342.1)". The record is from RNAcentral. Lineage: Eukaryota; Metazoa; Chordata; Aves; Anseriformes; Anatidae.
UGCUUGCUGGUGUGAGGCUGCUGGCUUUGGGGAUGGGGUGGGGGCCAGAGGGACAGGUCCCUGCCGGAAAAGGGACACUGGCUUCUCCUGGUGACACUGAACAUGCUCACAUGGCUGGGAGAUCUGCGGGGCCCUGCAGCCUUCUCAGCUGGCCUUGGGAGAGCCGUAGGUUAAACAAAUGCUUCCAGGGAUGGAGCCUGGAUGCUGUGGUGAUGGGUGCUUGGAAAUAGCAGGGUUUGGCCUGCUAUGGCACCAUGGUGCUGUUCCCAGAUAGGAAUUUGUGAGGGUUUGGGGCUUGGUACAGGAACCCCCAAAAUGAGUGCUGUUACCUGGAGCUGUGCAGCUCCCCCGGCAGUCACCGUGUGGGUGCUGUCUGAGCUGUUUUUCCCCCUUCUAUUCCAUUUCUCCAUGGGAUUUCUUUGCAGACUGUCUGGUGGGUGCAGGAGCUGAUGAAGGAGCAAUGCGGAGGUCCGCUGCAGCCCCCCAUCCCUGCUUGGCUCCUGCUCCCCCCAGUGAAGGCUUCUCUCCUCCAGCAACCUGCCGCGGAUGCGCCGCAGCCCAAAGGAACCCAAAGGCGAAGUGAGAGAUGGAGAUGCGAUAGCGAGGCCGUGCCACGCCAAGAAUCUUGAUUCGCGCCUGCGAGCGAAUGUGACAAACGCAUGCAAAUGGAGAGGGGACUCGGAGGCGGCUCCGCUGCCUUCAGGAGGCCGCUGGCCGCUGCAGGUGGCGGUGGGUAGGCAGCGGGAUGCUCGUGGCUCCCUCGGAAACUGCGGCAGAAACGAAGCCGAGCUUGGCCUGGAAUGGCAGAAGAGUGUUUUCUUGAUUAAAUUAAUGUGUAUUGAUAUUUCUCCUGUUGUUUUGACUUCACAGGCUGUUUAAAUUCAGUCUUGUCACAACAAAAUACAAAGGAGGUUGCUCUGAGAUUGAUUUUUUUUUUUUUCUUUAAUCCUGUCUCUGAAGAAGAGUGUUUUAAAAUUUUAUUUUUUUUGUUACUUCCAGGUUGACAGCCGGGGAAGGCUGCAAAUGUUAAAACUGUUGCGUAAAUAAUUAUGUUAAAAUGUCGAGCAUACAUUAUGGAGGAAGAUGCGUGUUGAUUGUAAAGCACGAAUCAAUUUUCUGCGUCACAAAAUUACCGACAGUGGAGUUUGCUUUGGUGAUUUAUUCCCUCAAAUGAUGAUUUUUGUGACUACCAGCCUACUUUCCCCGGAGAGUCUUCUUGAUGGGUGAAGCUUUGGUUUCCCCUUUGUUGUCACUGCUGAAGCUCUCUCCUCCUGCCUGCAUGGCAGUGCCCCCCCCCGAUUCUUAAAAGCAGAGCCUUUCAUGCAAGCUGCAUCCCAAAACGCUCUGCCAAGUUAAAUAAUGUAGUCACAAAACCAAAUAUUGAAUAAUGACUGAGGAAGGGAUUAAGGGAGACAGUCGAGCAACAAAAGGGAUGCUCGAGUGUUUGGAGCACAAGACGGGGAAGGCAGGGAUGCUCAGGGUGUGCUGGGCAGGGAGCUGCAGCCCCCCAGGACCGCGUCCCCCAGCUGCAACCCAAACCUCUCUGCCAAGCCCGCCUUAUUUAAGCCAUUUCUGUUGGAAAUGGCAAAAAGGUCUGCAAUAAAUGUCCAGGUUUUGAGAUGGGAAGUUUCGGU